GGGUUCCUUCGGGAACCUUGUACAGUGGCGGACGGGUGAGUAACACGUGAUCAAUCUGCCCUGGAGGCGGGGAUAGCCAUUCGAAAGGAUGGGUAAUACCUGAUAAGACCACAGCAUCGCAUGGUGCAGUGGUAAAAUGGUGGGGAUCUUCGGACCUUCCACUCCAGGAUGAGAUCGCGGCCUAUUAGCUUGUUGGUGAGGUAACGGCUCACCAAGGCGAUGAUGGGUAGCCGGCCUGAGAGGGUGAACGGCCACACUGGAACUGAGACACGGUCCAGACUCCUACGGGAGGCAGCAGUGCUGAAUCAUUCGCCAAUGCGCGAAAGCGUGACGGUGCGACGCCGCGUGAAGGAUGAAGGCCCUCGGGUUGUAAACUUCUGUCAGGUUCUAGAAAACUGUAGGAGAUAAUACCUCCUGCACUGAUCAGAACCAAAGGAAGCACAGGCUAAUCUCGUGCCAGCA
This 462-nucleotide ribosomal RNA is filed under the name uncultured bacterium. Its description in RNAcentral is "bacterial SSU rRNA". It matches the Rfam family "Bacterial small subunit ribosomal RNA", at positions 72 to 513 of the family's 1533-position model. The record is from RNAcentral.